Molecule: long non-coding RNA, 742 nt
Organism: Dreissena polymorpha
Lineage: Eukaryota; Metazoa; Mollusca; Bivalvia; Myida; Dreissenidae
Exons: 2
Source: RefSeq, a predicted model, not a curated record
CUGCAGAGAGAUGCUGUGAUGUUUAAGAUUGGUAGUUUGCUUGUAUGUGGUGCGCGUUAGAUGUGUAUAAGUUUAGUGUACGAGAUAUAUAAACUGAAGUUAGUUCGUUGUUGCUAGCUGUAAUAUAACAGUACCUAUUUAGUCUUUAAAGUAGAAUGAUGAUAAAUAAUUACGGAAUAAUUAAUAUGUAUACUGAAGAGUAUUAUAUUAAACGUGAACAAUACUUUAUAUUUCCAAAUACUUCGCAUUAUAAAAAGGACUUAAACGGGGCUGCAACUAAUGGAACCACAUAUAUCUCAGACACGUGAAGUAUCAUAUGAAAAUGAUGAUUAUGAUGAUGAUAAUGAUGAAAAUGACGACGACGACGACCACGACGACGCCGCCGCCCCCGCCACCGCCGCCGAUGACGAUGCUGUUGCUGCUGAUGCUGAUGCUGCUGCUGCUGCUGCUAAUGAUGAUGAUGAUGCUGAUUAUGUUCAAUAUCACGAAAGCAUUUGAACAUAGAUGGAGAAGUGGACCGCUAAACAUUAGAACUGACGUGUAUACAUGUACAUCGAACAAGCAUAAUAGACCUCAAUUUAAACGAGUGUUCUGGUUAAAAAUAAGUAGCUUUUCUUCACAUGGACUGGGUAUUAAAGAUAAAGACCGCAGGAGCACAUCGGCACUUGAAAUAGGGCUAAUUCUGUACCCCGCAAAUACAUGUUUUGAACAUUACGUUAAGAAAAUAAGAACACAGUCAUUA